UUCCACAUUCUUGCUGUGAUUUUUUUUUUGAAAAAAAAUUUUUUUUUUUUUCUUCCUUUCAGUAAAAGUGCCUGCCUUUGUCAUGAUUUCACCCUGAAACGGGCAGGGGAUUCAAUAACGCGCCCUGGCAGGGUAUCAAAGGCCCGUUUUCUCAAGAGGAACAGGAAAAGGCCCUUUCAGCAGCGUACUUUGGAGGGAAAAUACCAUACCAUGAGAAAGAAGGAGGCAUAUUCAGCAGAGUUGUGAUUUGGGUAUAAAGCUGUGAUUUGGAUGUGAAUGCUGGUAUCCAAUGGAUGUUGUAUGUCUCUGUAUGUUGUAGGAAUAAAGUUUGCGUCUGUCUCCUGUGGCUGGAGUUCAGAUGCAGGAUUCUUCAUUUUUGGGUUGUAUUUCUGAAGGUAUUCAAGUGUGGCUUCAGUGACAUGAAAACUGGCCCAAAAGCUUUGUUUGACAAACUUAACACCUAAACAAAA
This is a long non-coding RNA of Chroicocephalus ridibundus (black-headed gull), 470 nucleotides long. RefSeq lists it as uncharacterized. The transcript is spliced from 3 exons. NCBI's taxonomy places the organism in Eukaryota, Metazoa, Chordata, Aves, Charadriiformes, Laridae. The record is from RefSeq and is a predicted model, not a curated record.